Molecule: non-coding RNA, 136 nt
Organism: Hordeum vulgare subsp. vulgare (domesticated barley)
Lineage: Eukaryota; Viridiplantae; Streptophyta; Magnoliopsida; Poales; Poaceae
Source: Rfam
GAAGUAUUCCCUUUUACUCAAAUUUUUUGUCUUAGAUUUGUCUAGAAAUAAAUGUAUCUAAAUAUUAAAACAUGACUAGAUACAUUCAUAUCUAGACAAAUAUAAGACAAGAAUUUUGAGACUGAGGGAGUACUUA